AGUGAACGCUGGCGGUAGGCCUAACACAUGCAAGUCGAACGGCAGCACAGUAAGAGCUUGCUCUUACGGGUGGCGAGUGGCGGACGGGUGAGGAAUACAUCGGAAUCUACUUUUCGUGGGGGAUAACGUAGGGAAACUUACGCUAAUACCGCAUACGACCUACGGGUGAAAGCAGGGGAUCUUCGGACCUUGCGCGAUUGAAUGAGCCGAGGUCGGAUUAGCUAGUUGGCGGGGUAAAGGCCCACCAAGGCGACGAUCCGUAGCUGGUCUGAGAGGAUGAUCGGCCACACUGAAACUGGGACACGGUCCAGACCCCUCCGGGAGGCAGAAGUGGGAAAUAUUGGAAAAUGGGGGCAAGCCUGAUCCAGCAAUACGGCGUGGGUGAAGAAGGCCUUCGGGUUGUAAAGCCCUUUUGUUGGGAAAGAAAAGCAGCAGGUUAAUACCCCGCUGUUCUGACGGUACCAAAAGAAUAAGCACCGGCUAACUUCGU
RNAcentral lists this ribosomal RNA (490 nucleotides) under uncultured bacterium. Its description in RNAcentral is "partial 16S ribosomal RNA". It matches the Rfam family "Bacterial small subunit ribosomal RNA", at positions 29 to 506 of the family's 1533-position model. The record is from RNAcentral.